Molecule: ribosomal RNA, 500 nt
Filed under: uncultured bacterium
Lineage: Bacteria
Description: bacterial SSU rRNA
Rfam family: Bacterial small subunit ribosomal RNA
Source: RNAcentral
UAGUCCACGCCGUAAACGAUGGAUACUCGAUGUUGCCCUCUUUUGGGCAGCGUCCAAGCUAACGCGUUAAGUAUCCCACCUGGGGAGUACGCCCGCAAGGGUGAAACUCAAAGGAAUUGACGGGGGCCCGCACAAGCGGUGGAGCAUGUGGCUUAAUUCGAUGCGACGCGAGGAACCUUACCUGGACUCGAACGCUACCGGACAGUCCCCGAAAAGGGAUCUUCUUCGGACUGGUAGUGAGGUGCUGCAUGGCUGUCGUCAGUUCGUGUCGUGAGAUGUUGGGUUAAGUCCCGCAACGAACGCAACCCCUAUCGUUAGUUACCAGCGGGUCAUGCCGGGGACUCUAGCGAGACUGCCUGCGCAAGCAGUGAGGAAGGUGGGGACGACGUCAAGUCAUCAUGGCCUUUAUGUCCAGGGCUGUUCACGUGCUACAAUGGGUGAUACAAUGGGCUGCUACUCCGCGAGGAGACGCGAAUCCACAAAGUCAUCCCCAGUUCGGA